GUGGAUUAGAUACCCUAGUAGUCCACGCCCUAAACGAUGAAUACUCGAUGUUGGCGAUAUACGGUCAGCGUCUAAGCGAAAGCGUUAAGUAUUCCACCUGGGGAGUACGCCCGCAAGGGUGAAACUCAAAGGAAUUGACGGGGGCCCGCACAAGCGGAGGAGCAUGUGGUUUAAUUUGAUGAUACGCGAGGAACCUUACCCGGGCUUGAAAGUUAGUGAAUUGAGCAGAGACGCUCAAGUCCUUCGGGACACGAAACUAGGUGCUGCACGGCUGUCGUCAACU
This 283-nucleotide ribosomal RNA is filed under the name uncultured bacterium. RNAcentral describes it as "partial 16S ribosomal RNA". It matches the Rfam family "Bacterial small subunit ribosomal RNA", at positions 773 to 1060 of the family's 1533-position model. The record is from RNAcentral.